Molecule: long non-coding RNA, 964 nt
Organism: Cygnus atratus (black swan)
Lineage: Eukaryota; Metazoa; Chordata; Aves; Anseriformes; Anatidae
Exons: 3
Source: RefSeq, a predicted model, not a curated record
CUUCCGAGGCUCUUCUCCUCCUCGCCUCCCGGCGACACCGGCGGCGCGUCCUCCGAAGUUACCCCGAGGAGGAAACUAGGAAGAGCUUGGAAUAGUGCAUUGAACCGCCCGCGGGUCAAAUGAUCAGUGCUCCAGAGAUGUGUUAGUCACCCUCAGGUCAUAAUUAAGAAGGAAAAUACCAUUCAAAGCAAGUGACAGCCCAGAGUCCUCCAGAAGUCCUGCAAUCCGACAUGCUGGCUCCUGAAGACCUUACAGAACAGAGAACUACUUCAGAAGGAACUGGGGGUAAACGUUCAUCAGAUUUCGGAGUGGAAGAUCACGGAGCAUGGAAAUGAUGCUUGAACACUGCUGCAUGCAUUAGGAAAACAAGAAUUCCUCCCCCAACAGAACAUGCUUUGUUCAGCACCAGUAAUAUCACAGGUGAGGACCAAACGGAAAACCUUUCAACAUAAACAAAGAAAACAAUAUAACACAACUGGCAAGCUUUUCAUCUCUAGUGUCACAGGGAGAUGCUGUCAGGAUGAGAAGUUAACACAUGGAAGCCAGCUGUAGCAACUAAAUGUCUCAAGGAAACUUGUUCUUACAUAAUGAAAUCCAUUCACAAGGAAUAUCACAGAAAGUUGGAGUGACCUGAUAAAAGUCAGAAGAGAUUACCAGAUUUAUUCUUGGAAAAGCAAGAAAGUAAAGCUCAAAGCCUGACAGACUCUGAAAAUGAUGAAAAUAUGACUGUUAAUUCAAAAGUUUUAUUUCCAGAUGUUCAAAGAACUGAUUUUUAAAGAUAGCAUGUUGCAUAAUAUGUUGGAAAACCACCUGUAAGUGUUCAUAAAACAAACUAAGAAAAAAUCAGACAAACAGUUAUGUUCAGAAAUAUAGUGGGAUAUGCCAUGAAAAACUAAAAUUAUCUGGGCAGGGUUCUGGCUUUGUCGUGAACUCAUUAUUAAGAAAACCAUGCUGCUCUGCUGCC